UUAUGAUGAUUGAUUUUGGCGGAAGAGUUCUUGAAGACUAAAUUCAUCACCCAAGACUGA
Molecule: small nucleolar RNA, 60 nt
Filed under: Drosophila grimshawi
Lineage: Eukaryota; Metazoa; Arthropoda; Insecta; Diptera; Drosophilidae
Description: snoRNA:GH25847
Rfam family: Small nucleolar RNA CD11
About the family: CD11 is a member of the C/D class of snoRNA which contain the C (UGAUGA) and D (CUGA) box motifs.
Source: RNAcentral